GUUUCCGUAGGUGAACCUGCGGAAGGAUCAUUGCACACACGAGUUGCAGCCAACCCGCGGCGAACGAACACAUUGUCCCCCUUCGGCGGGUCGUGGCGCCCUCGCGGCGCCGCGGCCGGCCGUCACCCCCUUCGUCCCUUCGUGGCGUCGGGAUUCCACACGAUGCAUCACCCGAAUGACUGAGUCCCGAAUGCUCGGACGGAAGGAGCGGCGGUGUGCGUUUCGCGUCCCCUUGGGCGGGUGAGCGGGCUUUUGCCGGCUUGCGAACUCGUUCGAGGGGCGCGGCGCGCGCCGGUCACCUGACGGACGGGUGGAAACGUAAUCCAAAAACAACUCUCAGCAACGGAUAUCUUGGCUCUUGCAACGAUGAAGAACGCAGCGAAAUGCGAUACGUAGUGUGAAUUGCAGAAUUCCGCGAAUCAUCGAGUCUUUGAACGCAAGUUGCGCCCGAGGCUUGUCCGAGGGCAUUUCCGCUAGAGCGUCACCGCGCCCCCCACCGAUCCCAACUCCCGCCGCGAGGCGCCAGUUGACCGAGGGUCGAGUGGAAAUGGCCGUCCCGGCGCCAGUUCGCUCCGAGGGUCGGCUGAAAUGGACGGAGUCGGGCCGCCGUGGUGACACAGUCCGCGAUCGGGUGAUUUCGUCGCGGGCCUCCCGCCUGCGGGAGGCUCGCCGUGAAUCUUUCUAAGUGCGUGGCUGCGUCCCCCAGUUGGCUUCGGUUACCCCUCACGCAGGUCGAGCGCGCCCCCGCGGCGCGCGUCACGCAUCAGACCUCUAAUCGGAAAAGACCACCCGCUGAG
This is a ribosomal RNA of 797 nucleotides. The stretch from base 332 to 484 matches the Rfam family "5.8S ribosomal RNA".